UACAGAGGGGGCAAGCGUUGUUCGGAAUUACUGGGCGUAAAGGGCGCGUAGGCGGCCCGCUAAGUCGAACGUGAAAUCCCUGGGCUCAACCCAGGAACUGCGUCCGAUACUGGCGGGCUUGAAUCCGGGAGAGGGAUGUGGAAUUCCAGGUGUAGCGGUGAAAUGCGUAGAUAUCUGGAGGAACACCGGUGGCGAAGGCGGCAUCCUGGACCGGUAUUGACGCUGAGGCGCGAAAGCGUGGGGAGCAAACAGG
Molecule: ribosomal RNA, 253 nt
Filed under: uncultured bacterium
Lineage: Bacteria
Description: partial 16S ribosomal RNA
Rfam family: Bacterial small subunit ribosomal RNA
Source: RNAcentral